Molecule: unclassified non-coding RNA, 270 nt
Filed under: Astragalus nezva-montis
Lineage: Eukaryota; Viridiplantae; Streptophyta; Magnoliopsida; Fabales; Fabaceae
Description: partial external transcribed spacer
Rfam family: Eukaryotic small subunit ribosomal RNA (bases 209-270)
Source: RNAcentral
AAUUUGUCAUGCUCCACGGUGACUUUUUUGGUCCGUGCGUGCGCGCUGUAUUCUUGGAUGCAGGUGCAUGAGGUGAACAUGGGUCUUUUUUCCCACUGUGUCCCUAUAUCUUUCGGUUGACUUGGAUGAUGCAUGUCUCUUUUUGCGUUGUUUGCUUCCCACCACUGGGUGCAAAGAUUGCAACUUGAGCAGUGUCAUUGAUGGAUGCUACCUGGUUGAUCCUGCCAGUAGUCAUAUGCUUGUCUCAAAGAUUAAGCCAUGCAGUGGUAA